AACAUCUCAACUCCUCACGGUUCGCCCGUGAUGAGCUUGGACUUUGGGGGUCUUGCCGGCCUGCAGGUCGGCUCCUCUCAAAUGAAUCAGCUUGCCGGUGUUUGGUGGCGUCACAGGUGUGAUAACUAUCUACGCUUGUGGUUUUCCGCCAGGUAACCUCCAGCAAUGGGGGUUCACUGGAGCUCACAGACGUCUCUCCUCGGUGAGGACAGCUCUUUGAAC
Molecule: unclassified non-coding RNA, 222 nt
Filed under: Botryobasidium ramosissimum
Lineage: Eukaryota; Fungi; Basidiomycota; Agaricomycetes; Cantharellales; Botryobasidiaceae
Description: Tomentella ramosissima ITS2
Source: RNAcentral